GGCUUAGGCUUGUUCUUGGAGCCAGGAGGUCUGCCUCUAGGCUUUCUCUGAACCUCCAGCAUCGAUCGAAUGCAUUGGUGAUUGUCGGGCGAGGGCUUGUUAGGGGUUCGUCGUUUGGAGGAGGAUGAUGGAGGUGUGGAGAGUGCUGUGGGCACGCUCCGGGGACUGUGGUCGGAGGAAGAGUCAUCGGAGGUGUGAGAAAGCUCUCUUGAUAGAGAGAUAGUAGUGCCAUAGUCAGCCAUUUUUUUUUU
This 251-nucleotide unclassified non-coding RNA is filed under the name Hevea brasiliensis (rubber tree). The record is from RNAcentral. Lineage: Eukaryota; Viridiplantae; Streptophyta; Magnoliopsida; Malpighiales; Euphorbiaceae.